GAUGAACGCUGGCGGCGUGCUUAACACAUGCAAGUCGAACGAUGAACCUCACUUGUGGGGGGAUUAGUGGCGCACGGGUGAGUAACACGUGAGUAACCUGCCCUUGACUCUGGGAUAAGCCUGGGAAACCGGGUCUAAUACUGGAUACGACCUUCUGGCGCAUGCCAUGUUGGUGGAAAGCUUUUGUGGUUUUGGAUGGACUCGCGGCCUAUCAGCUUGUUGGUGGGGUAAUGGCCUACCAAGGCGACGACGGGUAGCCGGCCUGAGAGGGUGACCGGCCACACUGGGACUGAGACACGGCCCAG
This 305-nucleotide ribosomal RNA is filed under the name uncultured bacterium. RNAcentral describes it as "bacterial SSU rRNA". It matches the Rfam family "Bacterial small subunit ribosomal RNA", at positions 28 to 334 of the family's 1533-position model. The record is from RNAcentral.